This is a non-coding RNA of Moorella sp. 60_41, 122 nucleotides long. The record is from Rfam. Lineage: Bacteria; Bacillati; Bacillota; Clostridia; Neomoorellales; Neomoorellaceae.
GCAGGAAAGUAGAAGCCAUCCGCUUCUCACCUUACAGCCACAGGCUGGUAAGGUCGGCGCCCGGUGAAAGAAGGGGUUUAGUUGUAUGAGCGGGUGGAGGGCACCCGCUUUCUUUGUGCUGG